UUUUGGCUCCUCGGGGGACUCUGUGAUCGGGCAGCUGUUCAGCUGUGAGAUGGAGAACUGCAGCAUGUGCCGCUGUGGGAAGGAGACCGUCCGUGUGUCCUCCACGCUGCUCUUCACCCUCUCCUACCCCGACAGCACCGAAAAACCAGCCAAGGAUUACGAGUUUGCCCAAAUUUUGAAGCGUAGCAUCUGCUUGGAGCAGAACACACAAGCCUGGUGUGAGAACUGUGAGAAAUACCAGCCCACGGUGCAGACCAGGAACAUCCG
Molecule: non-coding RNA, 267 nt
Organism: Zonotrichia albicollis (white-throated sparrow)
Lineage: Eukaryota; Metazoa; Chordata; Aves; Passeriformes; Passerellidae
Source: RefSeq, a predicted model, not a curated record